UCUCAGUUCGGAUUGGAGUCUGCAACUCGACUCCAUGAAGCUGGAUUCGCUAGUAAUCGCGCAUCAGCCACGGCGCGGUGAAUACGUUCCCGGGCCUUGUACACACCGCCCGUCAAGCCAUGGAAGCCGGGGGUACCUGAAGUGCGUGACCGCAAGGAGCGUCCUAGGGUAAAACCGGUGACUGGGGCUAAGUCGUAACAAGGUAAC
Molecule: ribosomal RNA, 207 nt
Filed under: uncultured bacterium
Lineage: Bacteria
Description: partial 16S ribosomal RNA
Rfam family: Bacterial small subunit ribosomal RNA
Source: RNAcentral